Molecule: ribosomal RNA, 326 nt
Filed under: Meyerozyma carpophila
Lineage: Eukaryota; Fungi; Ascomycota; Pichiomycetes; Serinales; Debaryomycetaceae
Description: eukaryotic LSU rRNA
Rfam family: Eukaryotic large subunit ribosomal RNA
Source: RNAcentral
CAAGUUUGACCUCAAAUCAGGUAGGAAUACCCGCUGAACUUAAGCAUAUCAAUAAGCGGAGGAAAAGAAACCAACAGGGAUUGCCUUAGUAGCGGCGAGUGAAGCGGCAAAAGCUCAAAUUUGAAAUCUGGCGCCUUCGGUGUCCGAGUUGUAAUUUGAAGAUUGUAACCUUGGGGUUGGCUCUUGUCUAUGUUUCUUGGAACAGGACGUCACAGAGGGUGAGAAUCCCGUGCGAUGAGAUGCCCAAUCCUAUGUAAGGUGCUUUCGAAGAGUCGAGUUGUUUGGGAAUGCAGCUCUAAGUGGGUGGUAAAUUCCAUCUAAAGCUA